RNAcentral lists this ribosomal RNA (305 nucleotides) under uncultured bacterium. Its description in RNAcentral is "bacterial SSU rRNA". It matches the Rfam family "Bacterial small subunit ribosomal RNA", at positions 333 to 635 of the family's 1533-position model. The record is from RNAcentral.
UUUGUCCUACGGGGCGCAGCAGUGAGGAAUAUUGGUCAAUGGCCGGAAGGCUGAACCAGCCAAGCCGCGUGAAGGACGAAGGUGCCAAGCAUUGUAAACUUCUUUUGUCAAGGGACAAAAUCAGGCUCGAGAGCCUGACCGAGGGUACUUGAAGAAAAAGCAUCGGCUAACUCCGUGCCAGCAGCCGCGGUAAUACGGAGGAUGCGAGCGUUAUCCGGAUUUACUGGGUGUAAAGGGAGCGCAGGCGGCGUGGCAAGUCAGACGUGAAAACCCGGGGCCCAACCCCGGGAGUGCAUUUGAAACUG